This 366-nucleotide transfer-messenger RNA is filed under the name bovine gut metagenome. It matches the Rfam family "transfer-messenger RNA". From Rfam's summary of the family: Bacterial tmRNA, also known as 10Sa RNA or SsrA, is named for its dual tRNA and mRNA-like properties. Its role is to liberate the mRNA from a stalled ribosome. The record is from RNAcentral.
GGGCUCGUAAUGGCUUCGACGGGGAAACAGAGGCAUGACAAGCGUGGCAGGCCGAGUAAUCCUGUAAACUGCUCAACUUUAAAAAAUAAACGACAACGAAUCUGUUGCUGUAGCUGCCUAACCGCAGCGUCGCGGAGGUGCGCCUCCGCCCGUUCUCCCCGAGCUAAUCGCGGCUUGGGAUCAGAACGUCAUUAAGGCGAUGAACGUGUGAUUCGGGAGCCAUACCGGACCGCAUGUAUUUCUGGCUACCGCUCUUUCAGUGGGCUCCCAUACUGAAGGAGAGGGGAAUUUGAUUUGAGAGCUGCCCACGGAGAAAAUUGUGUUGAAGUUUUUUCGGACAGGGGUUCGACUCCCCUCGGGUCCAUC